UGGGUAGGGGAGCGUUCUGUAAGCCUGUGAAGGUGGCCUGUGAGGGUUGCUGGAGGUAUCAGAAGUGCGAAUGCUGACAUAAGUAACGAUAAAGCGGGUGAAAAGCCCGCUCGCCGGAAGACCAAGGGUUCCUGUCCAACGUUAAUCGGGGCAGGGUGAGUCGACCCCUAAGGCGAGGCCGAAAGGCGUAGUCGAUGGGAAACGGGUUAAUAUUCCCGUACUUGGUGUUACUGCGAAGGGGGGACGGAGAAGGCUAUGUUGGCCGGGCGACGGUUGUCCCGGUUUAAGCGUGUAGGUGUGUGUUCCAGGUAAAUCCGGUUCACUUUAACACUGAGGCGUGACGACGAGGCACUACGGUGCUGAAGCAACAAAUGCCCUGCUUCCAGGAAAAGCCUCUAAGCAUCAGGUAACAUCAAAUCGUACCCCAAACCGACACAGGUGGUCAGGUAGAGAAUACCAAGGCGCUUGAGAGAACUCGGGUGAAGGAACUAGGCAAAAUGGUGCCGUAACUUCGGGAGAAGGCACGCUGACACGUAGGUGAAGUGAUUUACUCAUGGAGCUGAAGUCAGUCGAAGAUACCAGCUGGCUGCAACUGUUUAUUAAAAACACAGCACUGUGCAAACACGAAAGUGGACGUAUACGGUGUGACGCCUGCCCGGUGCCGGAAGGUUAAUUGAUGGGGUCAGCGCAAGCGAAGCUCCUGAUCGAAGCCCCGGUAAACGGCGGCCGUAACUAUAACGGUCCUAAGGUAGCGAAAUUCCUUGUCGGGUAAGUUCCGACCUGCACGAAUGGCGUAAUGAUGGCCAGGCUGUCUCCACCCGAGACUCAGUGAAAUUGAACUCGCUGUGAAGAUGCAGUGUACCCGCGGCAAGACGGAAAGACCCCGUGAACCUUUACUAUAGCUUGACACUGAACAUUGAGCCUUGAUGUGUAGGAUAGGUGGGAGGCUUUGAAGUGUGGACGCCAGUCUGCAUGGAGCCGACCUUGAAAUACCACCCUUUAAUGUUUGAUGUUCUAACGUGGACCCGUAAUCCGGGUUGCGGACAGUGUCUGGUGGGUAGUUUGACUGGGGCGGUCUCCUCCUAAAGAGUAACGGAGGAGCACGAAGGUUGGCUAAUCCUGGUCGGACAUCAGGAGGUUAGUGCAAUGGCAUAAGCCAGCUUGACUGCGAGCGUGACGGCGCGAGCAGGUGCGAAAGCAGGUCAUAGUGAUCCGGUGGUUCUGAAUGGAAGGGCCAUCGCUCAACGGAUAAAAGGUACUCCGGGGAUAACAGGCUGAUACCGCCCAAGAGUUCAUAUCGACGGCGGUGUUUGGCACCUCGAUGUCGGCUCAUCACAUCCUGGGGCUGAAGUAGGUCCCAAGGGUAUGGCUGUUCGCCAUUUAAAGUGGUACGCGAGCUGGGUUUAGAACGUCGUGAGACAGUUCGGUCCCUAUCUGCCGUGGGCGCUGGAGAACUGAGGGGGGCUGCUCCUAGUACGAGAGGACCGGAGUGGACGCAUCACUGGUGUUCGGGUUGUCAUGCCAAUGGCACUGCCCGGUAGCUAAAUGCGGAAGAGAUAAGUGCUGAAAGCAUCUAAGCACGAAACUUGCCCCGAGAUGAGUUCU
RNAcentral lists this ribosomal RNA (1605 nucleotides) under Salmonella enterica. RNAcentral describes it as "bacterial LSU rRNA". It matches the Rfam family "Bacterial large subunit ribosomal RNA", at positions 1225 to 2812 of the family's 2925-position model. Lineage: Bacteria; Pseudomonadati; Pseudomonadota; Gammaproteobacteria; Enterobacterales; Enterobacteriaceae. RNAcentral also lists the same sequence under 4 other names. The record is from RNAcentral.